Molecule: unclassified non-coding RNA, 248 nt
Filed under: Hevea brasiliensis (rubber tree)
Lineage: Eukaryota; Viridiplantae; Streptophyta; Magnoliopsida; Malpighiales; Euphorbiaceae
Source: RNAcentral
GGCUUGCAAACUAGAAGUUCGACUCGUAGAAGAGCCGCUGUGGACAAGGAUGCCCAAAUGAAGCCAGUAAAUGGAGAGACUACAUCUGAGGAUGAAGAAUUGGACCUAUCCUCCAUCCAGAUUGAUGAUUCUUUAGUGAUUGAGGAUGAUGAUAUUUCUGAUGAUGAAGAUGAUGACCAUGAUGAUGUGCUGCAGGAUGACUCUCUUCCUCUUUGUAUGCCUGAGAAGGUGCAUGAUGUCAAAUUGGG